RNAcentral lists this ribosomal RNA (938 nucleotides) under Spinocalanus elongatus. RNAcentral describes it as "SSU rRNA". It matches the Rfam family "Eukaryotic small subunit ribosomal RNA", at positions 56 to 996 of the family's 1831-position model. The record is from RNAcentral. Lineage: Eukaryota; Metazoa; Arthropoda; Copepoda; Calanoida; Spinocalanidae.
UGUCUAAGUACAAGCCUCACUAAGGUGAAACCGCGAAUGGCUCAUUAAAUCACACCUAAUCUACUGGAUAGUCAACAGUUACUUGGGUAACUGCGGUAAUUCUGGAGCUAAUACAUGCACAAAGCCCCGAACUUACGUGAGGGGUGCUUUUAUUAGAUCAAAACCAAACGGCUUCGGCUGUUCUCUUGGUGACUCUGAAUAACUUUGGGCUGAUCGCAUAGCCUAGCGCUGGCGACAUAUCCUUCGAAGGUGUGCCCUAUCAACUGUCGACUGUGGCAUAGACGCCCACAGUGGUUUUGACGGGUAACGGGGAAUCAGGGUUCGAUUCCGGAGAGGGAGCCUUAAAAACGGCUACCACAUCUAAGGAAGGCAGCAGGCACGCAAAUUACCCAAUGCCCGAAGGGCGAGGUAGUGACGAAAAAUAACGAUACGGGACUCAUCCGAGGCCCCGUAAUCGGAAUGAUUACACUUUAAAACCGUCCCAGAGGACCCAUUGGAGGGCAAGUCUGGUGCCAGCAGCCGCGGUAAUUCCAGCUCCAAUAGCGUAUAUUAAAGUUGUUGUGGUUAAAAAGCUCGUAGUUGGAUCUCGGCAGUCCGAGGGCGGUUCGCUUGCUAGUGUUACUGCCUUAUGGACUGUAGUUUUGCCAGAGGGCUCUGGGUGCUCUUAACCGAGUGUCCAGUGUUGCUGGCAGGUUUACUUUGAAAAAAUUAGAGUGCUCAAAGCAGGCUUUCACGCCUGAAUAUUCGUGCAUGGAAUAAUAGAAUAGGAAGUCGUUUCUAUUUUGUUGGUUUUCGGAAAUCGACUUAAUGAUUAAUAGGGACAGUCGGGGGCAUUUGUAUUCAAACGACAGAGGUGAAAUUCUUGGACCGUUUGAAGACAAACUACUGCGAAAGCAUUUGCCAAGAAUGUUUUCUUAAUCAAGAACGAAAGUUAGAGG